GUGGGGAAUAUUGGACAAUGGGCGAAAGCCUGAUCCAGCCAUGCCGCGUGUGUGAAGAAGGUCUUCGGAUUGUAAAGCACUUUAAGUUGGGAGGAAGGGCAGUAAGUUAAUACCUUGCUGUUUUGACGUUACCAACAGAAUAAGCACCGGCUAACUUCGUGCCAGCAGCCGCGGUAAUACGAAGGGUGCAAGCGUUAAUCGGAAUUACUGGGCGUAAAGCGCGCGUAGGUGGUUCAGCAAGUUGAAGGUGAAAUCCCCGGGCUCAACCUGGGAACUGCAUCAAAAACUGGCGAGCUAGAGUACGGUAGAGGGUGGUGGAAUUUCCUGUGUAGCGGUGAAAUGCGUAGAUAUAGGAAGGAACACCAGUGGCGAAGGCGACCACCUGGACUGAUACUGACACUGAGGUGCGAAAGCGUGGGGAGCAAACAGGAUUAGAAACCCUUGUAGUCC
RNAcentral lists this ribosomal RNA (450 nucleotides) under uncultured bacterium. Its description in RNAcentral is "partial 16S ribosomal RNA". It matches the Rfam family "Bacterial small subunit ribosomal RNA", at positions 354 to 796 of the family's 1533-position model. The record is from RNAcentral.